AGAAUCAACGCUGGCGGCGUGCCUAACACAUGCAAGUCGAACGAGAAAGUGGAGCAAUCCAUGAGUAAAGUGGCGCACGGGUGAGUAACACGUGACUAACCUACCCUUGAGUGGGGAAUAACUUCGGGAAACCGAGGCUAAUACCGCAUAACACCUACGGGUCAAAGGAGCAAUUCGCUUAAGGAGGGGGUCGCGGCAGAUUAGUUAGUUGGCGGGGUAAUGGCCCACCAAGACAGUGAUCUGUAUCCGGCCUGAGAGGGCGCACGGACACACUGGAACUGAAACACGGUCCAGACUCCUACGGGAGGCAGCAGUGGGGAAUUUUGCGCAAUGGGGGAAACCCUGACGCAGCAACGCCGCGUGGAGGAUGAAGUCUCUUGGGACGUAAACUCCUUUCGAUCGGGACGAUAAUGACGGUACCGAGAGAAGAAGCCCCGGCUAACUUCGCGCCAGCAGCCGC
This 460-nucleotide ribosomal RNA is filed under the name uncultured bacterium. Its description in RNAcentral is "SSU rRNA". It matches the Rfam family "Bacterial small subunit ribosomal RNA", at positions 26 to 518 of the family's 1533-position model. The record is from RNAcentral.